UACGUAGGGGGCAAGCGUUGUCCGGAUUUAUUGGGCGUAAAGAGCGUGUAGGCGGCCAGACAGGUCCGUUGUGAAAACUCGAGGCUUAACCUCUAGACGUCGAUGGAAACCGUCUGGCUAGAGUCCGGAAGAGGAGAAUGGAAUUCCUGGUGUAGCGGUGAAAUGCGCAGAUAUCAGGAAGAACACCCGUGGCUAAGGCGGUUCUCUAGUACGGUACUGACGCUGAGACGCGAAAGCGUGGGGAGCGAACAGG
Molecule: ribosomal RNA, 253 nt
Filed under: uncultured bacterium
Lineage: Bacteria
Description: partial 16S ribosomal RNA
Rfam family: Bacterial small subunit ribosomal RNA
Source: RNAcentral